CAAUAGCGUAUACUAAAGUUGUUGCAGUUAAAAAGCUCGUAGUUGAAUUUCUGGUCUUGGACGGCGGUCUACCACAAUUGUGGUACGUACCAACUGUCCGAGUCCAUCCUCGGGGAAAACAUGCCUGUGAUUCAGUUCAUGGGUAUGGGAUCCUCGUCAUUUACUGUGAGCAAAAUAGAGUGUUCAAAGCAGGCUUAUGCCGUUGAAUACAUUAGCAUGGAAUAAUAAGAUAGGACCUUGGUCUAUUUUGUUGGUUUGUACUCCAAGGUAAUGAUUAAUAGGGAUAGUUGGGGGUAUUCGUAUUCAAUUGUCAGAGGUGAAAUUCUUGGAUUUAUGGAAGACGAACUACUGCGAAAGCAUUUACCAAGGAUGUUUUCAUUAAUCAAGAACGAAAGUAAGGGGAUCGAAGACGAUUAGAUACCAU
Molecule: ribosomal RNA, 424 nt
Filed under: uncultured eukaryote
Lineage: Eukaryota
Description: SSU rRNA
Rfam family: Eukaryotic small subunit ribosomal RNA
Source: RNAcentral